Molecule: ribosomal RNA, 205 nt
Filed under: uncultured bacterium
Lineage: Bacteria
Description: partial 16S ribosomal RNA
Rfam family: Bacterial small subunit ribosomal RNA
Source: RNAcentral
UACGUAGGGUGCAAGCGUUAAUCGGAAUUACUGGGCGUAAAGCGUGCGCAGGCGGCUUUGCAAGACAGAUGUGAAAUCCCCGGGCUUAACCUGGGAACUGCAUUUGUGACUGCAUGGCUGGAGUGCGGCAGAGGGGGAUGGAAUUCCGCGUGUAGCAGUGAAAUGCGUAGAUAUGCGGAGGAACACCGAUGGCGAAGGCAAUCCC